RNAcentral lists this ribosomal RNA (473 nucleotides) under uncultured bacterium. RNAcentral's name for it is "bacterial SSU rRNA". It matches the Rfam family "Bacterial small subunit ribosomal RNA", at positions 27 to 518 of the family's 1533-position model. The record is from RNAcentral.
GGACGAACGCUGGCGGCGUGCCUAACACAUGCAAGUCGAGCGAGGAGAUCCUCGGGAUGAUCCUAGCGGCGGACGGGUGAGUAACACGUGGGCAACCUGCCUCAUAGAGAGGAAUAGCCUUCCGAAAGGGAGAUUAAUACCUCAUAACAUUGCAGUUUCGCAUGGAACAGCAAUUAAAGGAGCAAUCCACUAUGAGAUGGGCCCGCGGCGCAUUAGCUAGUUGGUGAGGUAACGGCUCACCAAGGCGACGAUGCGUAGCCGACCUGAGAGGGUGAUCGGCCACAUUGGGACUGAGACACGGCCCAGACUCCUACGGGAGGCAGCAGUGGGGAAUAUUGCACAAUGGGGGAAACCCUGAUGCAAGCAACGCCGCGUGAGUGAUGACGGCCUUCGGGUUGUAAAGCUCUGUCUUCAGGGACGAUAAUGACGGUACCUGAGGAGGAAGCCACGGCUAACUACGUGCCAGCCGCUGC